Molecule: ribosomal RNA, 326 nt
Filed under: uncultured bacterium
Lineage: Bacteria
Description: bacterial SSU rRNA
Rfam family: Bacterial small subunit ribosomal RNA
Source: RNAcentral
GAUGAACGCUAGCGGCGUGCUUAAUGCAUGCAAGUCGAACGAUAAACCCUUCGGGGUCGAAAGUGGCGAACGGGUGAGUAAUGCGUUGGUGACCUGCCUUGGUAGUGGGGGACAACCGCUGGAAACGGUGGCUAAUACCCCAGAUGCCAUUGUGUUUGGAAAACAUGUCUAAAGCUACGGUGCUACAAGAGGGGCCAACGUCCCAUCAGCUAGUUGGUGAGGGUAACCGGCUCACCAAGGGCAAGACGGGUAGGGGCGUGAGAGCGUGACCCUCCACACUGGUACUGACACACGGACCAGAUACCUACGGGUAGCAGCAGCAAGGA